Neofelis nebulosa (Clouded leopard) is the source of this 743-nucleotide long non-coding RNA. RefSeq lists it as uncharacterized. The record is from RefSeq and is a predicted model, not a curated record. The transcript has 5 exons. NCBI's taxonomy places the organism in Eukaryota, Metazoa, Chordata, Mammalia, Carnivora, Felidae.
AGGCUCGUUGUUACCCAUUGCGGGAUGGAUGAUUGGAAUUGGUAUUUUGAUUUCCUGCCUCAAAAUGAAUGUUCACAUGAAGAUAUAAACAGAAAAAGAAGCCACUUCAUAUGUAAAGAAAAAGGAAGAUGCUUCCUCAAGAUCUCAAAAGCUCGGAUUCACACUCCUCAUCCUCCCAGAGAAGAGUGAGGAAGUCUUUCUCUCCCUGGAUGAAUCUCUUGGAUUCAUUUGAGAUGUCCUUCCCACACUUCUCAAGGUUUUUGGUAGUGUUUGCACAGAAAGCUGCCGUGGAUGCACCCUCUCUGAACUGGUGGCGGGCCUGUCCUGCCUGAGGGUGCUAUGCCCUGCACACUUUGCCUUGAAGAGCUCUGCAGCCCACAGCUCAGGCCCCCAUGCCAAUGCCACAUUCUGACUUCUGUGCAGAAGCCAGCCCCUCCAGAAGGCUAUGUAUUUAAAGUUUUCCAUCCCAGAAGAACGGCGGCUAGAUGAAGAUGCAUUUCAUCAACGCUGCAAGAAACAAAUAGCAAAACAAAACCCUGGCGCAAGAGAAUCACUUUCUCCAAAAGGAAGAAUAAGAGUGCCUGGGUGGCUCAAUCAGUUGAGCUUCUGACUUCAGCUCAGGUCAUGAUCUCAUAGCUCGUGUGUUCAAGCCCUGCGUGAGUCUCUGUGCUGAUAGCUCUGAGCCUGGAACCUACUUCAGAUUCUGUGUGUCUAUCUCUCUCUCUGUCCCUCCCUGCUCUCUC